UGGCUCAGGACGAACGCUGGCGGCGUGCUUAACACAUGCAAGUCGAGCGAGGAACUUCGGUUCCUUGCGGCGGACGGGUGAGUAACACGUGGGCAACCUGCCUCACAAUGGGAGAUAGCCUUCCGAAAGGAAGAUUAAUACCCCAUAACACAAAGGAAACGCAUGUUUCUUUUGCCAAAGAAUUUCGUUGUGAGAUGGGCCCGCGGCGCAUUAGCUUGUUGGUGAGGUAACGGCUCACCAAGGCGACGAUGCGUAGCCGACCUGAGAGGGUGAUCGGCCACAUUGGAACUGAGACACGGUCCAGACUCCUACGGGAGGCAGCAGUGGGGAAUAUUGCACAAUGGAGGAAACUCUGAUGCAGCAACGCCGCGUGAGUGAUGAAGGUCUUCGGAUUGUAAAGCUCUGUCUUCUGGGACGAUAAUGACGGUACCAGAGGAGGAAGCCACGGCUAACUACGUGCCAGCAGCCGCGGUAAUACGUAGGUGGCAAGCGUUGUCCGGAUUUACUGGGCGUAAAGGAUGUGUAGGCGGAUAUUUAAGUGAGAUGUGAAAUCCCCGGGCUCAACUUGGGGGCUGCAUUUCAAACUGGAUAUCUAGAGUGCAGGAGAGGAAAGCGGAAUUCCUAGUGUAGCGGUGAAAUGCGUAGAGAUUAGGAAGAACAUCAGUGGCGAANGCGGCUUUCUGGACUGUAACUGACGCUGANGCAUGAAAGCGUGGGGAGCAAACAGGAUUAGAUACCCUGGUAGUCCAUGCCGUAAACGAUGAAU
This 766-nucleotide ribosomal RNA is filed under the name uncultured bacterium. RNAcentral's name for it is "bacterial SSU rRNA". It matches the Rfam family "Bacterial small subunit ribosomal RNA", at positions 20 to 814 of the family's 1533-position model. The record is from RNAcentral.